This 61-nucleotide transfer RNA is filed under the name Cavia porcellus (domestic guinea pig). It matches the Rfam family "tRNA", at positions 6 to 65 of the family's 71-position model. From Rfam's summary of the family: Transfer RNA (tRNA) molecules are approximately 80 nucleotides in length. Their secondary structure includes four short double-helical elements and three loops (D, anti-codon, and T loops). Lineage: Eukaryota; Metazoa; Chordata; Mammalia; Rodentia; Caviidae. The record is from Rfam by way of RNAcentral.
UGUAGCUUAGUGACAGAGAAUUUGCCUAACAUGCAAAAGGCUCUGGGUUCAAUCCCUAGCA